UCAGGUGCUGAAUAGUUUUCUCUCCUCUCCGUCUCCACAAGAACUUUCCUUCCUAGAAAGGAAGCUUUCUGUGAGAUGACACUAGGUGCUGAAUAAAGCUUUAUUGCCUUAUCUCCUCUCCAGCUCCACAUCGACUUUCCUGUGAGAAGACACUGGAUCUACAUGGGAGAAGUUCGGGGAACAGGGAAGGAAACAGUAUCGUGAACAAUUUCGUAACAUUUGAAGUCUUAAAUAUGAAAAAAAUAUCCGUCAAUAUAUAAAAGAUCACUGAAAACAGAUAUGUACUAUGCAUACAUAUGUC
This is a long non-coding RNA of Melitaea cinxia (Glanville fritillary), 301 nucleotides long. RefSeq lists it as uncharacterized. Lineage: Eukaryota; Metazoa; Arthropoda; Insecta; Lepidoptera; Nymphalidae. The transcript is spliced from 3 exons. The record is from RefSeq and is a predicted model, not a curated record.